UGAAUACGAGACGCUAAGGCGUCGAAGUAGUGUAUGUCAUACUUCCAAGAAAAGCUUGCACUGUCAUAAGUAAAAAAUGCCUGUACCAUAACCGACACAGGUGGGUAGGUAGAGUAUACUAAGGGGCGCGAGAUAACUCUCUCUAAGGAACUCGGCAAAAUAACUCCGUAACUUCGGGAGAAGGAGUACCUUAUUCUAUAAGGUUGCAAUAACAAGAUCCAAGCAACUGUUUAUCAAAAACACAGGUCUCCGCUAAGUCGUAAGACGAUGUAUGGGGGCUGACGCCUGCCCAGUGCCAGAAGGUUAAAGAAGUCGGUUAGCAUUAGCGAAGCUGGUAACUGAAGCCCUGGUGAACGGCGGCCGUAACUAUAACGGUCCUAAGGUAGCGAAAUUCCUUGUCGGGUAAGUUCCGACUCGCACGAAAGGCGUAAUGAUUUGGAUACUGUCUCGGAGAGGGGCUCGGUGAAAUAGACUUGUCUGUGAAGAUGCGGACUACCUGCACCAGGACAGAAAGACCCUAUGAAGCUUUACUGUAACUUGAAAUUGAAAUUGGACUUUAUUCGCGCAGUAUAGGUGGGAGGUGUUGAUUAUAAUCUUGCGGGAUUAUUGGAGCCAUCAGUGAGAUACCACUCUUGUAAUGUUAGAUUUCUAACUUUGAAUCAUUAUCUGGUCAAAGGACAGUUUCAGGCGGGCAGUUUGACUGGGGCGGUCGCCUCCCAAACGGUAACGGAGGCGUACAAAGGUUUCCUCUGAACGGGUAGAAAUCGUAUCUAGAGUGUAAAGGCAUAAGGAAGCUUGACUGUGAGACCUACAAGUCGAACAGGGACGAAAGUCGGUCUUAGUGAUCUGACGGUACUGAGUGGAAAGGCCGUCACUCAACGGAUAAAAGUUACUCUAGGAUAACAGGCUGAUCUCCCCCAAGAGUUCACAUCGACGGGGAGGUUUGGCACCUCGAUGUCGGCUCAUCGCAUCCUGGGGCGGUAGUACGUCCCAAGGGUUGGGCUGUUCGCCCAUGAAAGCGGUACGCGAGCUGGGUUCAGAACGUCGUGAGACAGUUCGGUCCAUAUCCGGUGUAGGCGUUAGAAUAUUGAGAGGAGCCUUCUUUAGUACGAGAGGACCGAGAAGGACAUACCUCUGGUGUACCAGUUAUCGUGCCAACGGUAAACGCUGGGUAGCUAUGUAUGGAGUGGAUAACCGCUGAAAGCAUCUAAGUGGGAAGCCCACCUCAAGAUAAGUAUUCUCAUC
This 1245-nucleotide ribosomal RNA is filed under the name metagenome. Its description in RNAcentral is "bacterial LSU rRNA". It matches the Rfam family "Bacterial large subunit ribosomal RNA", at positions 1564 to 2818 of the family's 2925-position model. The record is from RNAcentral.